AUCAGCGUGGGAUUCACGGCGAAAUGAGACUGUUCGUGAGUGAGGGCGUCCCGGGUUGCUUGCCGGUGCUGGCCGCCGCCGGGAGAGCCCGGGGCAGAGCAGAGGUGCUCAUCAGCACUGUAGGCCCGGAAGAUUGUGUGGUCCCGUUCCUGACCCGGCCUAAGGUCCCUGUCUUGCAGCUGGAUAGUGGCAACUACCUCUUCUCCACUAGUGCAAUCUGCCGAUAUUUUUUUUUGUUAUCUGGCUGGGAGCAAGAUGACCUCACUAACCAGUGGCUGGAAUGGGAAGCGACAGAGCUGCAGGUAGGACUAAGGUAUGGGGGAUGUCAGGCAGGCCCUUGUUCUGCGUGGCCAUCCUAACUCAUGUCCCCUGCAUUUUAGCCAGCUUUGUCUGCUGCCCUGUACUAUUUAGUGGUCCAAGGCAAGAAGGGGGAAGAUGUUCUUGGUUCAGUGCGGAGAGCCCUGACUCACAUUGACCACAGCUUGAGUCGUCAGAACUGUCCUUUCCUGGCUGGGGAGACAGAAUCUCUAGCCGACAUUGUUUUGUGGGGAGCCCUAUACCCAUUACUGCAAGAUCCCGCCUACCUCCCUGGUGAGAACUGUGCAUAUCACUCCAACCCUAGGAGCUUGGUGUAGGGGUUACAGAAUGGGCAG
Molecule: small RNA, 653 nt
Filed under: Pan troglodytes (chimpanzee)
Lineage: Eukaryota; Metazoa; Chordata; Mammalia; Primates; Hominidae
Description: retained intron
Source: RNAcentral